RNAcentral lists this long non-coding RNA (224 nucleotides) under Lathyrus oleraceus (garden pea). RNAcentral's name for it is "Pisum sativum (pea) long non-coding RNA (PSAT_LNC007215)". Lineage: Eukaryota; Viridiplantae; Streptophyta; Magnoliopsida; Fabales; Fabaceae. The record is from RNAcentral.
AAAAAUAACUUUAAUUCAGAAUAUGGAAGAGAAAAAUAUUUAAAGAUUUUUGGUGUAAGUCCCAUAUUUUUUGGAUUAAAAAAUGAAAUUUCUAUGAAUUAAACAAAAUAAAUGGAUUAAAUAAAAAAUCAGAAAUAAAAAAGAAAAUAAAAAAAACAAUGGCCAUCAGAUCUCCCUCAUUAAUUGAGGUGGCAGAUCUGAUGGCUAAGGGCGCGCGUUCCAUA